RNAcentral lists this ribosomal RNA (361 nucleotides) under uncultured Synergistaceae bacterium. RNAcentral's name for it is "bacterial SSU rRNA". It matches the Rfam family "Bacterial small subunit ribosomal RNA", at positions 1023 to 1382 of the family's 1533-position model. The record is from RNAcentral. Lineage: Bacteria; Thermotogati; Synergistota; Synergistia; Synergistales; Synergistaceae.
GUGGCCGGUUGCGAGGUGCUGCAUGGUUGUCGUCAGCUCGUGCCGUGAGGUGUCGGGUUAAGUCCCAUAACGAGCGCAACCCCUACUGCUAGUUGCCAGCGGGUCAUGCCGGGGACUCUAGCGGAACUGCCAGCGUAAGCUGCGAGGAAGGUGGGGAUGACGUCAAGUCAUCAUGGCCCUUAUGUCCAGGGCGACACACGUGCUACAAUGGCCGGCACAACGGGAAGCGAGUUCGCGAGGACGAGCGGAUCCCUCAAAGCCGGUCGCAGUUCGGAUUGAAGUCUGCAACUCGACUUCAUGAAGCUGGAAUCGCUAGUAAUCGUGGAUCAGCCAAGCCGCGGUGAAUACGUUCCCGGGCCUU